AAAAUUAUUUUUCUGUCUUACUACGAUUAUGACCGUGACUGUGAGCGGCUCCCUCCACCACCGCAGAGCACACAGCAGCUGCUGAGGCCGCGGGCUCCCACUGCACGCCCACUGAAGGGUGCCAGGCUGCAGGGUCAAAGCCUCCCUCGCCCGGACCACCAGCGAAGCAGCACCAGAACCCCAGUUUUUCAGCCGGGCUCCGCUGUUCGAACCAGCAGCACGAUCCCAGGUAGCCGCCUCAGAGAGGGAGUCGGCCCGAGGGGAUCGCUGCUGCUUCCCAAGGACGGCAGGCACAAAGGGGCGCCGAGCACGGGUGGGCCCCCACCGGUCAGGGCCCCGCUGGAGAACACGGAUAGGCGAAGCCCGCCGGAUUCCACCGAGGCCCGGCGCGGGCAAGGCUCCAGGAGCGGCCCGACCAGGCCAGGAGACCAUGAGGGGGCCGCGGGAGCCCCGAGCCAGGCCGGGCCCUCCCAGAGGGGGCCGGAGCCCGGGGCCACCCGCCCCGCUGCCCGCGCGCUCCCCGCGCUCCUUACCGCCUUCUCCGACUCUCAAGGCAGCGGCAGGGUCUGUGGCGGCCCGCAGCCCCGGCGCGGCACCCGCUGCUCCCGCUCGGCGCGGCGCGGGGUGUCCGGCGCGGUGGCCGCCCUCAGAGCCCCAUCCUCCCCGCGCCCCGCCACGGCGUCACCGCUCUGCGACGGCCCCGCGAAGCACGACACGGCGCCGCCAUGCCGCCACCGCCCCCGGCACGUGACUGCAGAGCCAGUGCCGCGUGACGCGGGCAGGGAAAGGAGUAGGAAGGGAGACAAAGGGAUGGUAGUGCGCGCAUGCGCAGCGGUGAUUGACAGCUGUAGUGGAGGAGGGCUCAGGGUUUGCUUGCAGUCGUUGGUGGUGUUUGGUGUGGUAUUUAUCGCCUCAGUUUAUUUUGUCUGGGAGAUAAGAGCACUGGCCUGGAGUUAUGGAUGGCUUUUGGGUUCUGUGCUGCUGUUUCAGCGCUCUGGGAACCAUCUCUGGAGACAAAUCAGCAAUUCCACCUUCCUUUUCUUCAGGAUCACAGAACCAAAGAAUGGCUGA
This 1071-nucleotide long non-coding RNA is filed under the name Numida meleagris (helmeted guineafowl). Its description in RNAcentral is "lncRNA (ENSNMEG00000008781.1)". The record is from RNAcentral. Lineage: Eukaryota; Metazoa; Chordata; Aves; Galliformes; Numididae.